RNAcentral lists this ribosomal RNA (250 nucleotides) under uncultured bacterium. RNAcentral's name for it is "partial 16S ribosomal RNA". It matches the Rfam family "Bacterial small subunit ribosomal RNA", at positions 524 to 773 of the family's 1533-position model. The record is from RNAcentral.
UACGUAGGUGGCAAGCGUUGUCCGGAAUUAUUGGGCGUAAAGCGCGCGCAGGCGGCCUCUUAAGUCUGAUGUGAAAGCCCCCGGCUCAACCGGGGAGGGCCUUGGAAACUGGGAGGCUUGAGUAUAGGAGAGAGGAGUGGAAUUCCACGUGUAGCGGUGAAAUGCGUAGAGAUGUGGAGGAACACCAGUGGCGAAGGCGACUCUUUGGCCUAUAACUGACGCUGAGGCGCGAAAGCGUUGGGGAGCAAAC